AAGUCUGACGGAGCACGCCGCGUGAGUGAUGAAGGUUUUCGGAUCGUAAAGCUCUUUUGUUAGGGAAGAACAAGUACGAGAGUAACUGCUCGUACCUUGACGGUACCUAACCAGAAAGCCACGGCUAACUACGUGCCAGCAGCCGCGGUAAUACGUAGGUGGCAAGCGUUGUCCGGAAUUAUUGGGCGUAAAGGGCUCGCAGGCGGUUUCUUAAGUCUGAUGUGAAAGCCCCCGGCUCAACCGGGGAGGGUCAUUUGAAACUGGGAAACUUGAGUGCAGAAGAGGAGAGUGGAAUUCCACGUGUAGCGGUGAAAUGCGUAGAGAUGUGGAGGAACACCAGUGGCGAAGGCGACUCUCUGGUCUGUAACUGACGCUGAGGAGCGAAAGCGUGGGGAGCGAACAGGAUUAGAUACCCUGGUAGUCCACGCCGUAAACGAUGAGUGCUAAGUGUUAGGGGGUUUCCGCCCCUUAGUGCUGCAGCUAACGCAUUAAGCACUCCGCCUGGGGAGUACGGUCGCAAGACUGAAACUCAAAGGAAUUGACGGGGGCCCGCACAAGCGGUGGAGCAUGUGGUUUAAUUCGAAGCAACGCGAAGAACCUUACCAGGUCUUGACAUCCUCUGACAACCCUAGAGAUAGGGCUUUCCCUUCGGGGACAGAGUGACAGGUGGUGCAUGGUUGUCGUCAGCUCGUGUCGUGAGAUGUUGGGUUAAGUCCCGCAACGAGCGCAACCCUUGAUCUUAGUUGCCAGCAUUUAGUUGGGCACUCUAAGGUGACUGCCGGUGACAAACCGGAGGAAGGUGGGGAUGACGUCAAAUCAUCAUGCCCCUUAUGACCUGGGCUACACACGUGCUACAAUGGACAGAACA
This 868-nucleotide ribosomal RNA is filed under the name uncultured bacterium. RNAcentral describes it as "bacterial SSU rRNA". It matches the Rfam family "Bacterial small subunit ribosomal RNA", at positions 379 to 1241 of the family's 1533-position model. The record is from RNAcentral.